This 465-nucleotide ribosomal RNA is filed under the name uncultured bacterium. RNAcentral describes it as "bacterial SSU rRNA". It matches the Rfam family "Bacterial small subunit ribosomal RNA", at positions 338 to 795 of the family's 1533-position model. The record is from RNAcentral.
CCUACGGGACGCACCAGUGGGGAAUAUUGCACAAUGGGCGCAAGCCUGAUGCAGCCAUGCCGCGUGUAUGAAGAAGGCCUUCGGGUUGCAAAGUACUUUCAGCGGGGAGGAAGGUGUUGUGGUUAAUAACCACAGCAAUUGACGUUACCCGCAGAAGAAGCACCGGCUAACUCCGUGCCAGCAGCCGCGGUAAUACGGAGGGUGCAAGCGUUAAUCGGAAUUACUGGGCGUAAAGCGCACGCAGGCGGUCUGUCAAGUCGGAUGUGAAAUCCCCGGACUCAACCUGGGAACUGCAUUCGAAACUGGCAGGCUGGAGUCUUGUAGAGGGGGGUAGAAUUCCAGGUGUAGCGGUGAAAUGCGUAGAGAUCUGGAGGAAUACCGGUGGCGAAGGCGGCCCCCUGGACAAAGACUGAUGCUCAGGUGCGAAAGCGUGGGGAGCAAACAGGAUUAGAUACCCGCGUAGUC